RNAcentral lists this transfer RNA (74 nucleotides) under Micromonospora sp. C51. Its description in RNAcentral is "tRNA-Thr". It matches the Rfam family "tRNA". From Rfam's summary of the family: Transfer RNA (tRNA) molecules are approximately 80 nucleotides in length. Their secondary structure includes four short double-helical elements and three loops (D, anti-codon, and T loops). Further hydrogen bonds mediate the characteristic L-shaped molecular structure. tRNAs have two regions of fundamental functional importance: the anti-codon, which is responsible for specific mRNA codon recognition, and the 3' end, to which the tRNAs corresponding amino acid is attached (by aminoacyl-tRNA synthetases). tRNAs cope with the degeneracy of the genetic code in two manners: having more than one tRNA (with a specific anti-codon) for a particular amino acid; and 'wobble' base-pairing, i.e. permitting non-standard base-pairing at the 3rd anti-codon position. The record is from RNAcentral. Lineage: Bacteria; Bacillati; Actinomycetota; Actinomycetes; Micromonosporales; Micromonosporaceae.
GCCAGCGAAGCUCACCUGGUUCGAGCACCGGUUUCGUAAUCCGGAGGCAGCGGGUUCGACUCCCGCCGCUGGCU